GAGUAAGCAUCUUUGACUGAUGACAGGUC
RNAcentral lists this non-coding RNA (29 nucleotides) under Homo sapiens (human). The record is from RNAcentral. Lineage: Eukaryota; Metazoa; Chordata; Mammalia; Primates; Hominidae.